AUUCCUGUACCGGUGUGUAGUGCGAUGUGGGGACGGAGAAGGUUAACUCAUCCGGGUGUUGGAUUACCCGGUUCAAGCCUGUAGUCGUGGUCCUUAGGCAAAUCCGGGGACCUUAGAUGAGGGGUGAUAACGAGGAAGCUUGCUUCUGAAGUGAGUGAUACCCUGCUUCCAAGAAAAGCCACUAAGCUUCAGCUACACACGACCGUACCGCAAACCGACACUGGUGCGCGAGAUGAGUAUUCUAAGGCGCUUGAGAGAACUCUGGAGAAGGAACUCGGCAAAUUGACACCGUAACUUCGGAAGAAGGUGUGCCCCUAGUAGGUGAAGUCGUACAGACGGAGCCCAAUGGGGUCGCAGAUAAUAGGUGGCUGCGACUGUUUAUUAAAAACACAGCACUCUGCAAAGACGAAAGUCGACGUAUAGGGUGUGACGCCUGCCCGGUGCUGGAAGAUUAAAUGAUGGGGUGCAAGCUCUUGACUGAAGUCCCAGUAAACGGCGGCCGUAACAAUAACGGUCCUAAGGUAGCGAAAUUCCUCGUCGGGUAAGUUCCGACCUGCACGAAUGGCGUAACGAUGGCCACGCUGUCUCCUCCAGAGACUCAGCGAAGUUGAAAUGUUUGUGAUGAUGCAAUCUCCCCGCGGAAAGACGGAAAGACCCCAUGAACCUUUACUGUAGCUUUACAUUGGACUUUGAACAGAUCUGUGUAGGAUAGGUGGGAGGCUUUGAAACCUGGUCGCUAGAUCAGGUGGAGCCAACCUUGAAAUACCACCCUGGUGUGUUUGAGGUUCUAACCUUGGCCCGUUAUCCGGGUUGGGGACAGUGUAUGGUGGGCAGUUUGACUGGGGCGGUCUCCUCCCAAAGCGUAACGGAGGAGUUCGAAGGUACGCUAGGCACGGUCGGAAAUCGUGCUGAUAGUGCAUUGGCAUAGCGUGCUUGACUGCGAGACUGACAAGUCGAGCAGGUACGAAAGUAGGACAAAGUGAUCCGGUGGUUCUGUAUGGAAGGGCCAUCGCUCAACGGAUAAAAGGUACUCUGGGGAUAACAGGCUGAUACCGCCCAAGAGUUCAUAUCGACGGCGGUGUUUGGCACCUCGAUGUCGGCUCAUCUCAUCCUGGGGCUGUAGCCGGUCCCAAGGGUAUGGCUGUUCGCCAUUUAAAGAGGUACGUGAGCUGGGUUUAAAACGUCGUGAGACAGUUUGGUCCCUAUCUUCCGUGGGCGCUGCAAGAUUGAGAGAGCCUGCUCCUAGUACGAGAGGACCGGAGUGGACGCACCUCUGGUGUAUCGGUUGUCACGCCAGUGGCAUCGCCGAGUAGCUAAGUGCGGAAGAGAUAACCGCUGAAAGCAUCUAAGCGGGAAACUCGUCUCAAGAUGAGUCUUGCCGGGGCCUAGAGCCCCCUGAAGAGUCGUUCGAGACCAGGACGUUGAUAGGUCGGGUGUGGAAGCGCAGUAAUGCGUUAAGCUAACCGAUACUAAUUCCUCGUGAGGCUUGACCCU
RNAcentral lists this ribosomal RNA (1494 nucleotides) under metagenome. Its description in RNAcentral is "bacterial LSU rRNA". It matches the Rfam family "Bacterial large subunit ribosomal RNA", at positions 1435 to 2925 of the family's 2925-position model. The record is from RNAcentral.